AAAAACCAAAACUAAAAACUAAAAACCAAAAUCUAAAGUCACCAUUCAUGUUUUUCAAAAAACCAAAAUCUACUGCAAAAUCUAAAAUCCAAAAACCAAAAUCUAAAAUCCAAAAACCAAAAACUAAAAACCAAAAACCAAAAUCUAAAAUCUAGAAACCACACAAACAAUCAUCACCUAAACAUCUUCUUCUUCACUUAACAACCACUACACGUCGCUUCCUCUAAUAAUGUCACCACUGUCGGAGUUCAGCACCGUAUCUCCACUAUGCCACUAGCAAAACCGUAAUAUUUACUGUUUUUAUA
RNAcentral lists this long non-coding RNA (305 nucleotides) under Brassica rapa (field mustard). Its description in RNAcentral is "long non-coding RNA (BRAP_LNC007610)". The record is from RNAcentral. Lineage: Eukaryota; Viridiplantae; Streptophyta; Magnoliopsida; Brassicales; Brassicaceae.